UCAGCAAGAUUAUUUUUUAUUAGUGGAAGACUUUUCAUGGAAAAAAGGAUGAGUUAUUUUGACCCUCCUAGUUAGUGCACAAUCAAUACUGAGGCUUCAGAGACACAGACAAGUUUCAACACCAAUGACCCGAAAGGAUAUUAUUUGUUCCAUCAAUGGUGUUUUGGAUGUCUAAAUGAAGUUUUAAGAAUACUUUGCUUGUGAUAUUGAUGCCGAGAUGACCAUACUGAUGCCUCGCUCGAAUUUACUUCCGAUAUUGAGCCUUUGUAUUUUUUGAUUUGCGGUGAACCUAAUCCAAGGGACAGUCACACUUGCAGUGUCGUUGGUCAUAAACUAUUUGUGGGUACUAAUGGGAUGAAUUCACUGAUUGAUUUGCAUAUUAGAGAGUAUGCUAAAAUGUGUGGAUUUUAGCUCAAGUGGGUUGAUUUUUGCAUGAGCAUGUACAGCUCUGGUCUCACAUCUGUUUUGGGCGAUGUCACUGAAAGCUAAGUCUUAAGCUAAAACAUGUAUAUGUUAUGAAGCUAUAUAGUUACGUGCUCUUUAUCUACAUACAACUUACUGAUGUUAUAUUGUUUUUAGCUUUGCAAACGUUGGAAUGUCCAAUUAUAAGAGGAAAAGGGCCAGAGGCAUGUGAGGGUCAUAGCAAAACAGUUAUUGACCAACAACUCUUCAUCUUUGGUGGUUGUGAACAAUCUGCUGAUAUUAACAAUGAUCUUUACAUAAUACACACUGAAUACAAACUUAGUAUUCAUUGAUGUGCUAACUUACAAAGAAGUGCGGGGGGAGUCUAUAUCAGCUGACCGGGCGAAACCUACAGCUCAAGCCUGACGAAUGCCUUUUAUGUUCCUGGUGAAAAAGAAAAGAAUCGCUUUCCUUCCCCAUCUCUAUUUGAUACAGCUAGAGUUUCUACUGGUGCCUUGAGUUUACUUUUAAUAUUGAAGCCUCAUUGACCGAAAUGAUGCCUUGAAAAUGUAUUUGCAAUAGUGAUGCCUCGUUGUCCCUAUAGAUGCCUUGAAUUUACUUGUGGUAUUGAUGCUUCGAUGACCCUAAUGAUGCCUUGAAUUUACUUGCGAUAUUGAUGCCUCGUUGACCCUAUUGAUGCCUUGAAUUUACUUGCGAUAUUGAUGCCUUGAUGAUCCUAAUGACGUCAGCCUUGAAUUUACUUGCAAUAUUAAUGCCUCGAUGACCUUAUUGGUGCCUUGUAAAUUCUUGAGAUAUUGAUGCCUCGAUGACCCUAAUGAUGCCUCGAUAUAAUGAAUACUUUACUCAAAUGUAAAUGUUGCCUUAUUGCGGGUAUUGAUAUGAAUUUUAUUCAUUCAUAAUGCCUGAAUGGCCCUGGAAGAACUAUUAUGAAUACUUUAGGUGCGAUAUGGAUGUCU
Molecule: long non-coding RNA, 1379 nt
Organism: Trifolium pratense (red clover)
Lineage: Eukaryota; Viridiplantae; Streptophyta; Magnoliopsida; Fabales; Fabaceae
Exons: 3
Source: RefSeq, a predicted model, not a curated record